This 496-nucleotide ribosomal RNA is filed under the name uncultured bacterium. RNAcentral's name for it is "partial 16S ribosomal RNA". It matches the Rfam family "Bacterial small subunit ribosomal RNA", at positions 29 to 523 of the family's 1533-position model. The record is from RNAcentral.
AUUGAACGCUGGCGGCAUGCUUUACACAUGCAAGUCGAACGGUAGAGGGGGCAACCCCUUGAGAGUGGCGAACGGGUGAGUAAUGCAUCGGAACGUGUCCAGUCGUGGGGGAUAACGCAGCGAAAGCUGUGCUAAUACCGCAUACGAUCUCCGGCUGAAAGCGGGGGCCCGGAAGGCCUCGCGCGACUGGACCGGCCGAUGUCAGAUUAGGUAGUUGGUGGGGUAAAGGCUCACCAAGCCAACGAUCUGUAGCUGGUCUGAGAGGACGACCAGCCACACUGGGACUGAGACACGGCCCAGACUCCUACGGGAGGCAGCAGUGGGGAAUUUUGGACAAUGGGCGCAAGCCUGAUCCAGCAAUGCCGCGUGCAGGAAGAAGGCCUUCGGGUUGUAAACUGCUUUUGUACGGAACGAAAAGGUCUGGGUUAAUACCCUGGGCACAUGACGGUACCGUAAGAAUAAGCACCGGCUAACUACGUGCCAGCAGCCGCAGUAA